This 415-nucleotide ribosomal RNA is filed under the name uncultured bacterium. Its description in RNAcentral is "bacterial SSU rRNA". It matches the Rfam family "Bacterial small subunit ribosomal RNA", at positions 29 to 428 of the family's 1533-position model. The record is from RNAcentral.
AGCGAACGUUAGCGGCGGGCUUAACACAUGCAAGUCGCACGAGAACCUUCUUCGGAAGGCGUAAAGUGGCGCACGGGUGCGUAACACGUAGGUAAUUUGCCCUUCGGCGGGGAGUAACGUUCCGAAAGGAACGCUAAUACCGCAUAAGACCACGGCCUCUAUGGGGCGUGAGGUCAAAGACUGGCCUCUUCAUGAAAGACUAGCACCGAAGAAUGAGCCUGCGGCCCACUCAGCUAGUUGGCGAGGUAAUGGCUCACCAAGGCGAAGACGGGUAGCUGGUCUGAGAGGAUGAUCAGCCACACUGGCACUGAAACACGGGCCAGACUCCUACGGGAGGCAGCAGUGGGGAAUAUUGGACAAUGGGCGCAAGCCUGAUCCAGCCACGCCGCGUGAGUGAUGAAGGCCUCGGUUGUAA